Molecule: small RNA, 720 nt
Filed under: Pongo abelii (Sumatran orangutan)
Lineage: Eukaryota; Metazoa; Chordata; Mammalia; Primates; Hominidae
Description: processed transcript
Source: RNAcentral
GUCAUCUAGUUCAUCUUUAUUACGAAAUGAAAAUGGUAUUGAUGCGGAGCCAGCUGAGGAGGCAGUUAUUCAAAAACCUCGGAGGAAGACAAAGAAAACCCAGCCAGCAGAAUUACAGUAUGCCAAUGAGCUAGGAGUAGAAGAUGAAGACAUAAUCACUGAUGAGCAAACUACUGUGGAACAGCAGUCUGUAUUCACUGCACCCACUGGCAUUAGCCAGCCUGUAGGCAAAGUAUUUGUGGAAAAAAGCCGGAGAUUCCAGGCUGCUGAUCGUUCAGAGCUGAUAAAGACCACAGAAAACAUAGAUGUGUCAAUGGACAUGAAGCCUUCCUGGACCACCAGAGAUGUGGCACUUACAGUGCACCGGGCUUUCAGGAUGAUUGGUCUCUUUUCUCAUGGAUUCUUGGCUGGCUGUGCUGUGUGGAAUAUUGUUGUGAUAUAUGUUCUAGCAGGAGAUCAGCUAUCCAACCUCUCAAACCUUCUGCAACAAUACAAGACCCUAGCGUAUCCAUUCCAGAGUCUUCUGUACUUGCUUUUGGCUCUGAGUACAAUUUCAGCUUUUGACAGGAUUGACGUUGCUAAAAUAUCAGUAGCAAUCCGAAAUUUUUUGGCCCUGGAUCCUACAGCUUUAGCAUCUUUCUUAAUUUCAUUUGUCUUUUUCUCAGUGUACUUUACUGCUCUUAUACUAUCUCUGAGUCAGCAAAUGACAAGUGACAGAAU